Molecule: ribosomal RNA, 809 nt
Filed under: uncultured archaeon
Lineage: Archaea
Description: bacterial SSU rRNA
Rfam family: Archaeal small subunit ribosomal RNA
Source: RNAcentral
AGCCAUGAUAGAGACGCGGCGUACGGCUCAGUAACACGUGGCUAACCUACCCUUAGGACGAGAAUAACCCCGGGAAACUGGGGCUAAUACUCGAUAGGUGAGGAGGCCUGGAAUGGUUCCUCUCCCAAAUGGUGUUGAAAUCAUGCUUUUCAACGUCGCCUAAGGAUGGGGCCGCGCCCGAUCAGGUUGUUGGUGAGGUAACGGCUCACCAAGCCUAUAACCGGUACGGGCCGUGAGAGCGGGAGCCCGGAGAUGGGCACUGAGAUAAGGGCCCAGGCCCUACGGGGCGCAGCAGUCGCGAAAACUCCGCAAUGCGCGAAAGCGUGACGGGGCUACCCCGAGUGCCGUCCGCUGAGGAUGGCUUUUACCCGGUGUAAUGAGCCGGGGGCAAUAAGGAGAGGGCAAGUCUGGUGUCAGCCGCCGCGGUAAUACCAGCUCUCCGAGUGGUAGGGAUAAUUAUUGGGCCUAAAGCGUUCGUAGCCGGCUUAGCAAGUCUCCUGUUAAAUUCAGCGACCUAAUCGUUGAGCCGCGGGAGAUACUACUAGGCUAGGAGGCGGGAGAGGCCGACGGUAUUCUAGGGGUAGGGGUGAAAUCCUAUAAUCCCUAGAGGACCACCAGUGGCGAAGGCUGUCGGCUAGAACGUGCUCGACGGUGAGGGACGAAAGCUGGGGGAGCGAACCGGAUUAGAUACCCGGGUAGUCCCAGCCGUAAACGAUGCGGGCUAGUGUUGGAGUGGUUACGAGCCACUUCAGUGCCGCAGGGAAGCCAUUAAGCCCGCCGCCUGGGAAGUAUGGCCGCAAGGCUGAAAC